RNAcentral lists this ribosomal RNA (455 nucleotides) under uncultured Sphingobacteriales bacterium. RNAcentral describes it as "bacterial SSU rRNA". It matches the Rfam family "Bacterial small subunit ribosomal RNA", at positions 924 to 1382 of the family's 1533-position model. Lineage: Bacteria; Pseudomonadati; Bacteroidota; Sphingobacteriia; Sphingobacteriales. The record is from RNAcentral.
CACAAGCGGUGGAGCAUGUGGUUUAAUUCGAUGAUACGCGAGGAACCUUACCUGGGCUCAAAUGUAUGUUGACGUAUUCUGAAAGGGAUACUUCUUCGGACAAUAUACAAGGUGCUGCAUGGUUGUCGUCAGCUCGUGCCGUGAGGUGUCGGGUUAAGUCCCAUAACGAGCGCGACCCCUAUCAUUAGUUGCCAUCAGGUCAAGCUGGGGACUCUAAUGAAACUGCCUACGCAAGUAGUGAGGAAGGUGGGGAUGACGUCAAAUCAGCACGGCCCUUACGUCCAGGGCUACACACGUGCUACAAUGGCCGGUACAAAGGGCAGCUACCUGGUGACAGGAUGCUAAUCUCAAAAGCCGGUCUCAGUUCGGAUCGGAGUCUGCAACUCGACUUCAUGAAGUCGGAAUCGCUAGUAAUCGCGGAUCAGAACGCCGCGGUGAAUACGUUCUCGGGGUUU